Long non-coding RNA from Gopherus evgoodei (Goodes thornscrub tortoise), 1513 nucleotides. RefSeq lists it as uncharacterized. The transcript has 2 exons. NCBI's taxonomy places the organism in Eukaryota, Metazoa, Chordata, Testudines, Testudinidae. The record is from RefSeq and is a predicted model, not a curated record.
UAAAAUCACAUGACUGUUAGGAACAUCUAGAGCUGUCUCAUCCAGAAUCAUUUAUCUGACGACAGUGGUCAAUAAUAGAUGCUUCAGAGCAAGGUGCAGGAAACCCCUUACUAGAUAACUAUAGAAUAACCUGUCCAUAGAGCUAAUUUCUUCCUAAUCCCUGUCAGAUAGUGGUUGGUUUGUGUCCUGAAGCAUGAAAGUUUAUAUCCUUACCUUUUUUUUUAAGUAUCCCAUCUAAUCUAACUGAAUGUUCUCAUUAUCCAUGUAUAAAUCAAAUCCUUUAAAAAAUGUUAAUUAGCACUUGAUACAUUGUUGUAAGUGUUCCUCAGGCUAGCUAUGCAUUGUGUAAAUAUUUCCCUUUCAGUUUUGAAUUUGCUGCCUUUGUUUCAUUGAGUGUCUCCUUGGUCUCGUGUUAUGGGAAAGGGUAAAUGGGACUGCUCAAUUUACCUUUGCUAUAUUAUUCAUUAUAUUGUAUAGCUUUAUCUUCUUCCUGAGUUUUUUCCCCUUUCAACUGAAUGGUCCCAAACUAUUUAACAUAUGAAAGUCUUUCCAUGCCUCUAUUUGUAUUAAUCCAGCCUCCAUCUAUUUCUGCUAUGCCCUUUUUGAGAUGGAAUGACUAGAAAAAAAAGUGUUCCCAAUGAGCAUGUACCACUGUUUUAUACUAUACUGGUAAACCACUGAGAGGAUAAUCUCCCAGCAUCUUGAUUUAGUGGCUGUGAUUAUAGAUGGACUAAAAUUAAAACCUUGAAAAUGGACCCUGGAACGUGAAAGCACCCCAUUCACUUUUGGUUCCUGGUUGGAUCCAAACCCAGAAUGGUUCUAUUUUCCUAUUUGGGGAGGAUUCAAGCAAAAUCUCAGCCCUUCUCAUUAGAUGUUGGCUCAAGGUGUUAGGAUCUUGGAAGAACAGCUGAUUUUAUGAACUAUCACCUUUCAGUGUUUAUAAAAAUUAAUCAGAACAAUUUGACAUUUCAGUUCCCUCUACUGUAAACCUGAACCUUCACCAUCAGCCUUGAACUCUAAUGUAAACCUAAUUUGGAUCCACAUCUGAACACUGCCAGUUUACAACAGAUAUCUUUAUACUUUGAUUUGUGAAUUUCAUCGAGGAAAUAGGUUCUUUACAAUCAAAUACAAUAUUUUGAUAUUUCUAACCUUAUUCUAUAUGCAUAUCAUAUGUGUAAUAGAGAGCUGAAUUCUAUUCUUUAAGCAGAUUGGUUGAAAUCUAUUUAAUAGGCAAAGAACCUGUAAUUAAAAAGGAGUAUAAUUUAAUAGAGGCUAUAAGAAAUGAAUGAGAAUGACCUACUGGUUGAAACACAACACUGGGUGGCAGGAGAGCUGAAUCCUAUUGCUAGUUUUGUGCUUCACUUUUUUACCUGUGAAACCUAAAGUCUGUUGUCUGUGUACUAAGAUUCCAAGCUCUCAGAGCAAAGAUAGUGACUUCUUUUGUGUCUUGUACAGCACCAAGCAUUUAGUCUAUAUGUAAUUAAUUAGUAAUAAUAAAACAGGUAAUUUUGCA